GACGAACGCUGGCGGCGUGCUUAACACAUGCAAGUCGAACGGAAAGGCCCUGCUUUUGUGGGGUGCUCGAGUGGCGAACGGGUGAGUAACACGUGAGUAACCUGCCCUUGACUUUGGGAUAACUUCAGGAAACUGGGGCUAAUACCGGAUAGGAGCUCCUGCUGCAUGGUGGGGGUUGGAACGUUUCGGCGGUUGGGGAUGGACUCGCGGCUUAUCAGCUUGUUGGUGGGGUAGUGGCUUACCAAGCCAUUGACGGGUAGCCGGCCUGAGAGGGUGACCGGCCACAUUGGGACUGAGAUACGGCCCAGAGGCCUACGGGAGGCAGCAGUGGGGAAUAUUGCACAAUGGGCGGAAGCCUGAUGCAGCAACGCCGCGUGCGGGAUGACGGCCUUCGGGUUGUAAACCGCUUUCGCCUGUGACGAAGCGUGAGUGACGGUAAUGGGUAAAGAAGCACCGGCUAACUACGUG
Molecule: ribosomal RNA, 468 nt
Filed under: uncultured bacterium
Lineage: Bacteria
Description: partial 16S ribosomal RNA
Rfam family: Bacterial small subunit ribosomal RNA
Source: RNAcentral